Molecule: ribosomal RNA, 270 nt
Filed under: uncultured archaeon
Lineage: Archaea
Description: partial 16S ribosomal RNA
Rfam family: Archaeal small subunit ribosomal RNA
Source: RNAcentral
CAGCCCCUCGAGUGGUGGGGAUGAUUAUUUGGCCUAAAGCGUCCGUAGCCGGCCGUGUAAGUCCCCCGUUAAAUUUAGCGUCUCAAGCGUUGGACUGCGGGAGAUACUGCUCGGCUAGAGAGUGGGAGAGGUGUGCGGUAUUCUGGGGGUAGGGGCGAAAUCCUUUGAUCCCCGGAGGACCACCAGUGGCGAAGGCUGCACACUAGAACACGUCUGACGGUCGGGGGCGAAAGCUGGGGUAGCGAACCGGAUUAGAUACCCGAGUAGUCC